Molecule: ribosomal RNA, 220 nt
Filed under: uncultured Diversispora
Lineage: Eukaryota; Fungi; Glomeromycota; Glomeromycetes; Diversisporales; Diversisporaceae
Description: partial small subunit ribosomal RNA
Rfam family: Eukaryotic small subunit ribosomal RNA
Source: RNAcentral
CCAAUAGCGUAUAUUAAAGUUGUUGCAGUUAAAAAGCUCGUAGUUGAACCUCGGGGUCUACCCAUUGGUCAGGCUUAAUUGUCUGCACUGGUGAGAUGGAUCUCUACCUUCUGAGGAACUUUCAUGCCAUUUAUUUGGUGUGAUGGGAAAUCAGGACUGUUACUUUGAAAAAAUUAGAGUGUUUAAAGCAGACUAUCGUCUGAAUACAUUAGCAUGGAAU